This 468-nucleotide ribosomal RNA is filed under the name uncultured bacterium. RNAcentral's name for it is "partial 16S ribosomal RNA". It matches the Rfam family "Bacterial small subunit ribosomal RNA", at positions 28 to 507 of the family's 1533-position model. The record is from RNAcentral.
GACGAACGCUGGCGGCGUGCCUAACACAUGCAAGUCGAACGGAAAGGUCCGGCUUUUGGGGGGUGCUCGGGUUGCGAACGGGGGAGUAACACGUGUGUAAGCUGUCCCUGACUUUGGGUUAACGUCAUGAAACUGGGGCUAAUACCGGAUAGGAGCUAUUGCAGCAUGGUGGGGGUUGGAAAGAUUAGGGGGUUGGGGAUGGAAUCGCGGCUUAUUGGCUUGUUGGGGGGGUAGUGGCUUACCAAGGCUUUGACGGGUAGCCGGCCUGGGAGGGGGACCGGACACACUACGACUGAGAUACGACACAGACUAGAACGGUAGGCAAGAGAGGAGAGUAGUACCCAAUACGCUGGAGCCAGCUGUGACCACGCCGCGUGGGGGAAGACAGGCUUCGGGUUGUGAACCGCUGUCGCCUGAGACGGGGCGAUAGUGACGGUACUGGGUAAAGAAGCACCGGCUAACUACGUG